CCUACGGGGGGCUGCAGUGGGGAAUAUUGCACAAUGGGGGAAACCCUGAUGCAGCGACGCCGCGUGAGUGAAGAAGUAUUUCGGUAUGUAAAGCUCUAUCAGCAGGGAAGAUAAUGACGGUACCUGAGUAAGAAGCCCCGGCUAACUACGUGCCAGCAGCCGCGGUAAUGCGUAGGGGGCAAGCGUUAUCCGGAUUUACUGGGUGUAAAGGGAGCGUAGACGGCAGCACAAGUCUGAAGUGAAAUGCCGGGGCUUAACCCCGGCACUGCUUUGGAAACUGUGCAGCUAGAGUGCAGGAGAGGUAAGUGGAAUUCGUAGUGUAGCGGUGAAAUGCGUAGAUAUUAGGAGGAACACCAGUGGCGAAGGCGGCUUACUGGACUGUAACUGACGUUGAGGCUCGAAAGCGUGGGGAGCAAACAGGAUUAGAUACCCGGGUAGUC
Molecule: ribosomal RNA, 440 nt
Filed under: uncultured bacterium
Lineage: Bacteria
Description: partial 16S ribosomal RNA
Rfam family: Bacterial small subunit ribosomal RNA
Source: RNAcentral